RNAcentral lists this long non-coding RNA (400 nucleotides) under Heterocephalus glaber (naked mole-rat). Its description in RNAcentral is "lncRNA (ENSHGLG00000050215.1)". The record is from RNAcentral. Lineage: Eukaryota; Metazoa; Chordata; Mammalia; Rodentia; Bathyergidae.
GGCAUCGAUCCGGCAGGCUCUGACCAGGGUGGCGGGAGGCUCAAGGCCUGGGUUUCUUUUUCAAAACCCUUCAUUCUCUGAGUUCUUCCUGUCCUGUGCACGCCUGGGGGCCGAGAAAUGGGGAAUCGUUUAUCCAUCCAUGCCCCUUAGGCCCGGCCCUGGGUCAAAAAUGAGCUCGGAGGACCGGGGCUUUAGCUCAGUGGUGCCACCGCCUGCCUCGCAAGCGCAAGGUCCUGAAUUCGAUCCCCGACCCAGACGCAGCUGGAGCAUGCGCGCAUUGGGGAGCUGGAGCAGAGCCUGCUACUGGAGAAGGCGCAGGCGGAGCGGCUGCUCCGAGAAUUGGCGGACAACAGGCUGACCACGGUGGCCGAGAAGUCGCAUGUUGCAGCUGGAGGAGGAG